This 511-nucleotide ribosomal RNA is filed under the name uncultured Roseateles sp. Its description in RNAcentral is "bacterial SSU rRNA". It matches the Rfam family "Bacterial small subunit ribosomal RNA", at positions 96 to 600 of the family's 1533-position model. Lineage: Bacteria; Pseudomonadati; Pseudomonadota; Betaproteobacteria; Burkholderiales; Sphaerotilaceae. The record is from RNAcentral.
CGGCGAACGGGUGAGGAAUACAUCGGAACGUGUCCGUAGUGGGGGAUAGCCCGGCGAAAGCCGGAUUAAUACCGCAUAUGCUCUACGGAGGAAAGCCGGGGAUCUCGUAAGGGACCUGGCGCUAUGGGGGCGGCCGAUGUCCGAUUAGCUAGUUGGUGGGGUAAAGGCCUACCAAGGCGACGAUCGGUAGCUGGUCUGAGAGGAUGAUCAGCCACAGUGGGACUGAGACACGGCCCAGACUCCUACGGGAGGCAGCAGUGGGGAAUUUUGGACAAUGGGGGCAACCCUGAUCCAGCCAUGCCGCGUGCGGGAAGAAGGCCUUCGGGUUGUAAACCGCUUUUAGCCGGGAAGAAGAGGCAGCGACUAAUACUCGCUGUUCUUGACGGUACCGGCGGAAUAAGCACCGGCUAACUACGUGCCAGCAGCCGCGGUAAUACGUAGGGUGCGAGCGUUAAUCGGAAUUACUGGGCGUAAAGCGUGCGCAGGCGGUUUGUUAAGUUCGUCGUGAAAG